Molecule: ribosomal RNA, 529 nt
Filed under: Skermanella sp.
Lineage: Bacteria; Pseudomonadati; Pseudomonadota; Alphaproteobacteria; Rhodospirillales; Azospirillaceae
Description: bacterial SSU rRNA
Rfam family: Bacterial small subunit ribosomal RNA
Source: RNAcentral
GGUGCUAAUACCGUAUAUCCCCUGAGGGGGAAAGAUUUAUCGCCAUGGGAGGAGCCCGCGUAGGAUUAGCUAGUUGGUGGGGUAAUGGCCUACCAAGGCGACGAUCCUUAGCUGGUCUGAGAGGAUGAUCAGCCACACUGGGACUGAGACACGGCCCAGACUCCUACGGGAGGCAGCAGUGGGGAAUAUUGGACAAUGGGGGAAACCCUGAUCCAGCCAUGCCGCGUGUGUGAUGAAGGCCUUCGGGUUGUAAAGCACUUUCGCACGUGACGAUGAUGACGGUAACGUGAGAAGAAGCCCCGGCUAACUUCGUGCCAGCAGCCGCGGUAAUACGAAGGGGGCAAGCGUUGUUCGGAAUUACUGGGCGUAAAGGGCGCGUAGGCGGUGCACUAAGUCAGGCGUGAAAGCCCUGGGCUCAACCCGGGAAUUGCGCUUGAUACUGGUGCGCUUGAAUCCAGGAGAGGUUGGUGGAAUUCCCAGUGUAGAGGUGAAAUUCGUAGAGAUUGGGAAGAACACCGGUGGCGAAGGC